CCUACGGGGGGCAGCAGUGAGGAAUACUGGUCAAUGGACGAGAGUCUGAACCAGCCAAGUAGCGUGAAGGAUGACUGCCCUAUGGGUUGUAAACUUCUUUUAUAUGGGAAUAAAACGUUCCACGUGUGGGAUUUUGUAUGUACCAUAUGAAUAAGGAUCGGCUAACUCCGUGCCAGCAGCCGCGGUAAUACGGAGGAUCCGAGCGUUAUCCGGAUUUAUUGGGUUUAAAGGGAGCGUAGGUGGAUUGUUAAGUCAGUUGUGAAAGUUUGCGGCUCAACCGUAAAAUUGCAGUUGAAACUGGCAGUCUUGAGUACAGUAGAGGUGGGCGGAAUUCGUGGUGUAGCGGUGAAAUGCUUAGAUAUCACGAAGAACUCCGAUUGCGAAGGCAGUUCACUGGACUGCAACUGACACUGAGGCUCGAAAGUGUGGGUAUCAAACAGGAUUAGAUACCCUAGUAGUC
This 460-nucleotide ribosomal RNA is filed under the name uncultured bacterium. Its description in RNAcentral is "partial 16S ribosomal RNA". It matches the Rfam family "Bacterial small subunit ribosomal RNA", at positions 338 to 795 of the family's 1533-position model. The record is from RNAcentral.